GCCUCGAGUGGCGUAGUGGUUAGAAGCACGCGUCCCCGGACAGGAUGAAACGCGGGUUCGUUUCCCGACUGAGGCC
Molecule: non-coding RNA, 76 nt
Organism: Parelaphostrongylus tenuis
Lineage: Eukaryota; Metazoa; Nematoda; Chromadorea; Rhabditida; Metastrongylidae
Source: the annotation of a GenBank genome assembly